RNAcentral lists this ribosomal RNA (1746 nucleotides) under Escherichia coli. RNAcentral describes it as "partial 23S ribosomal RNA". It matches the Rfam family "Bacterial large subunit ribosomal RNA", at positions 419 to 2150 of the family's 2925-position model. The record is from RNAcentral. Lineage: Bacteria; Pseudomonadati; Pseudomonadota; Gammaproteobacteria; Enterobacterales; Enterobacteriaceae.
GGGACACGUGGUAUCCUGUCUGAAUAUGGGGGGACCAUCCUCCAAGGCUAAAUACUCCUGACUGACCGAUAGUGAACCAGUACCGUGAGGGAAAGGCGAAAAGAACCCCGGCGAGGGGAGUGAAAAAGAACCUGAAACCGUGUACGUACAAGCAGUGGGAGCACGCUUAGGCGUGUGACUGCGUACCUUUUGUAUAAUGGGUCAGCGACUUAUAUUCUGUAGCAAGGUUAACCGAAUAGGGGAGCCGAAGGGAAACCGAGUCUUAACUGGGCGUUAAGUUGCAGGGUAUAGACCCGAAACCCGGUGAUCUAGCCAUGGGCAGGUUGAAGGUUGGGUAACACUAACUGGAGGACCGAACCGACUAAUGUUGAAAAAUUAGCGGAUGACUUGUGGCUGGGGGUGAAAGGCCAAUCAAACCGGGAGAUAGCUGGUUCUCCCCGAAAGCUAUUUAGGUAGCGCCUCGUGAAUUCAUCUCCGGGGGUAGAGCACUGUUUCGGCAAGGGGGUCAUCCCGACUUACCAACCCGAUGCAAACUGCGAAUACCGGAGAAUGUUAUCACGGGAGACACACGGCGGGUGCUAACGUCCGUCGUGAAGAGGGAAACAACCCAGACCGCCAGCUAAGGUCCCAAAGUCAUGGUUAAGUGGGAAACGAUGUGGGAAGGCCCAGACAGCCAGGAUGUUGGCUUAGAAGCAGCCAUCAUUUAAAGAAAGCGUAAUAGCUCACUGGUCGAGUCGGCCUGCGCGGAAGAUGUAACGGGGCUAAACCAUGCACCGAAGCUGCGGCAGCGACGCUGAUGCGUUGUUGGGUAGGGGAGCGUUCUGUAAGCCUGCGAAGGUGUGCUGUGAGGCAUGCUGGAGGUAUCAGAAGUGCGAAUGCUGACAUAAGUAACGAUAAAGCGGGUGAAAAGCCCGCUCGCCGGAAGACCAAGGGUUCCUGUCCAACGUUAAUCGGGGCAGGGUGAGUCGACCCCUAAGGCGAGGCCGAAAGGCGUAGUCGAUGGGAAACAGGUUAAUAUUCCUGUACUUGGUGUUACUGCGAAGGGGGGACGGAGAAGGCUAUGUUGGCCGGGCGACGGUUGUCCCGGUUUAAGCGUGUAGGCUGGUUUUCCAGGCAAAUCCGGAAAAUCAAGGCUGAGGCGUGAUGACGAGGCACUACGGUGCUGAAGCAACAAAUGCCCUGCUUCCAGGAAAAGCCUCUAAGCAUCAGGUAACAUCAAAUCGUACCCCAAACCGACACAGGUGGUCAGGUAGAGAAUACCAAGGCGCUUGAGAGAACUCGGGUGAAGGAACUAGGCAAAAUGGUGCCGUAACUUCGGGAGAAGGCACGCUGAUAUGUAGGUGAAGUCCCUCGCGGAUGGAGCUGAAAUCAGUCGAAGAUACCAGCUGGCUGCAACUGUUUAUUAAAAACACAGCACUGUGCAAACACGAAAGUGGACGUAUACGGUGUGACGCCUGCCCGGUGCCGGAAGGUUAAUUGAUGGGGUCAGCGCAAGCGAAGCUCUUGAUCGAAGCCCCGGUAAACGGCGGCCGUAACUAUAACGGUCCUAAGGUAGCGAAAUUCCUUGUCGGGUAAGUUCCGACCUGCACGAAUGGCGUAAUGAUGGCCAGGCUGUCUCCACCCGAGACUCAGUGAAAUUGAACUCGCUGUGAAGAUGCAGUGUACCCGCGGCAAGACGGAAAGACCCCGUGAACCUUUACUAUAGCUUGACACUGAACAUUGAGCCUUGAUGUGUAGGAUAGGUGG